UCGAAGUAGCGAUUGCAGCGGAAAACCUUUCCAUUUCUGUAAGUAUUUUGAUCUAAGUAUCAAUUGGAAAGAUUGGAGCGGAAAGCGCGGUCGUUC
Molecule: small RNA, 96 nt
Filed under: Leptospira biflexa serovar Patoc strain 'Patoc 1 (Paris)'
Lineage: Bacteria; Pseudomonadati; Spirochaetota; Leptospiria; Leptospirales; Leptospiraceae
Description: Flavo-1 RNA
Rfam family: Flavo-1 RNA
Source: Rfam by way of RNAcentral